UACGAGGGGGGCGAGCGUUGUUCGGAAUUAUUGGGCGUAAAGGGUGCGUAGGCGGUUUGGUAAGUCUUGUGUGAAAUCUACAGGCUCAACUUGUAGUCUGCACGAGAAACUGCCGUGCUUGAGUGUGGGAGAGGUGAGUGGAAUUCCCGGUGUAGCGGUGAAAUGCGUAGAUAUUCGGAAGAACACCAGUGGCGAAGGCGACUUACUGGACACAUAUUGACGCUGAGGUGCGAAAGCGUGGGGAGCAAACAGG
RNAcentral lists this ribosomal RNA (253 nucleotides) under uncultured bacterium. Its description in RNAcentral is "partial 16S ribosomal RNA". It matches the Rfam family "Bacterial small subunit ribosomal RNA", at positions 524 to 776 of the family's 1533-position model. The record is from RNAcentral.